CGGAGUGUAGUACAACGGUAGUAUACACCCUUGGGGUGGGUGCGACCCGGGUUCGACUCCCGGCACUCCGACUA
This 74-nucleotide transfer RNA is filed under the name Parcubacteria bacterium DG_74_3. Its description in RNAcentral is "tRNA-Pro". It matches the Rfam family "tRNA". From Rfam's summary of the family: Transfer RNA (tRNA) molecules are approximately 80 nucleotides in length. Their secondary structure includes four short double-helical elements and three loops (D, anti-codon, and T loops). The record is from RNAcentral. Lineage: Bacteria; Candidatus Parcubacteria.